This 119-nucleotide ribosomal RNA is filed under the name Pteropus alecto (black flying fox). RNAcentral also lists the same sequence under 1 other name. The record is from RNAcentral. Lineage: Eukaryota; Metazoa; Chordata; Mammalia; Chiroptera; Pteropodidae.
GUCUAUGGCCAUGCUACCCUGAACAAGCCCAAUCCUGUCUGAUCUUGGAAGCUAAGCUGGGUCGGGCCUGGUUAAUACUUGGAUAGGAGACCACCUAGGAAGACCAGGUGCCGUAGGCG